Molecule: ribosomal RNA, 406 nt
Filed under: uncultured bacterium
Lineage: Bacteria
Description: partial 16S ribosomal RNA
Rfam family: Bacterial small subunit ribosomal RNA
Source: RNAcentral
GAUGAACGCUAGCUACAGGCUUAACACAUGCCAGUCGAGGGACCGGCGCACGGGUGAAUAACACGUAUCCACCCUGCCCUUUACACGGGGAUAGCCUUUCGAAAGAAAGAUUAAUACACUAUCUCAAGGAUGGGGAUGCGUUCCAUUAGGUUGUUGGUGAGGUAACGGCCCACCAAGCCUUCGAUGGAUAGGGGUUCUGAGAGGAAUGUCCCCCACAUUGGAACUGAGACACGGUCCAAACGCCGACGGGAGGCAGCAGGGAGGAAUAUUGGUCAAUGGGCGUGAGACUGAACCAGCCAAGUAGCGUGAAGGAGGAAGGCUUAUGGGUCGUAAAGCACUUUCAGCGGGGAGGAUUGACGUACCCAAGAAGCACCGGCUAACUCCGUGCCAGCAGCCGCGGUAAUAC